AGUGAAUGCUGGCGGUAGGCCUAACACAUGCAAGUCGAACGGCAGCACGGGAGAGCUUGCUCUCUGGGUGGCGAGUGGCGGACGGGUGAGGAAUACAUCGGAAUCUACUCUGUCGUGGGGGAUAACGUAGGGAAACUUACGCUAAUACCGCAUACGACCUACGGGUGAAAGCAGGGGACCUUCGGGCCUUGCGCGAUUGAAUGAGCCGAUGUCGGAUUAGCUAGUUGGCGGGGUAAAGACCCACCAAGGCGACGACCCGUAGCUGGUCUGGGAGGAUGAUCAGCCACACUGGAACUAGGACACGGUCCUGAAUCCUACGGGAGGCAGCAGUGGGGAAUAUUGGACAGUGGGCGCAAGCCUGAUCAGCCAUACCGCGUGGGUGAAGAAGGCCUUCGGGUUGUAAAGCCCUUUUGUUGGGAAAGAAAUCCAGCUGGCUAAUACCCGGUUGGGAUGACGGUACCCAAAGAAUAAGCACCGGCUAACUUCGUGCCAGCCGCCGCAGUAA
RNAcentral lists this ribosomal RNA (505 nucleotides) under uncultured bacterium. Its description in RNAcentral is "partial 16S ribosomal RNA". It matches the Rfam family "Bacterial small subunit ribosomal RNA", at positions 29 to 523 of the family's 1533-position model. The record is from RNAcentral.